Molecule: transfer RNA, 77 nt
Filed under: Nocardiopsaceae bacterium
Lineage: Bacteria; Bacillati; Actinomycetota; Actinomycetes; Streptosporangiales; Nocardiopsidaceae
Also listed under: 1 other name
Description: tRNA-Val
Rfam family: tRNA
About the family: Transfer RNA (tRNA) molecules are approximately 80 nucleotides in length. Their secondary structure includes four short double-helical elements and three loops (D, anti-codon, and T loops). Further hydrogen bonds mediate the characteristic L-shaped molecular structure. tRNAs have two regions of fundamental functional importance: the anti-codon, which is responsible for specific mRNA codon recognition, and the 3' end, to which the tRNAs corresponding amino acid is attached (by aminoacyl-tRNA synthetases). tRNAs cope with the degeneracy of the genetic code in two manners: having more than one tRNA (with a specific anti-codon) for a particular amino acid; and 'wobble' base-pairing, i.e. permitting non-standard base-pairing at the 3rd anti-codon position.
Source: RNAcentral
GGGCGGUUAGCUCAGUUGGUUAGAGCGCUACCUUGACACGGUAGAGGUCACUGGUUCGAAUCCAGUAUCGCCCACCA